This 460-nucleotide ribosomal RNA is filed under the name uncultured bacterium. RNAcentral's name for it is "partial 16S ribosomal RNA". It matches the Rfam family "Bacterial small subunit ribosomal RNA", at positions 338 to 795 of the family's 1533-position model. The record is from RNAcentral.
CCUACGGGAGGCAGCAGUGAGGAAUAUUGGUCAAUGGACGAGAGUCUGAACCAGCAAAGUAGCGUGAAGGAUGACUGCCCUAUGGUUUGUAAACUUCUUUUAUAUGGGAAUAAAAUGUUCCACGUGUGGGAUUUUGUAUGUCCCAUAUGAAUACGGAUCGGCUAACUCCGUGCCAGCAGCCGCGGUAAUACGGAGGAUCCGAGCGUUAUCCGGAUUUAUUGGGUUUAGAGGGAGCGUAGGUGGAUUGUUAAGUCAGUUGUGAAAGUUUGCGGCUCAACCGUAAAAUUGCAGUUGAAACUGGCAGUCGUGAGUACAGUAGAGGUAGGCGGAAUUCGUGGUGUAGCGGUGAAAUGCUUAGAGAUCACGAAGAACUCCGAUUGCGAAGGCAGCUCACUAGACUGCAACUGACACUGAGGCUCGAAAGUGUGGGUAUCAAACAGGAUUAGAUACCCUAGUAGUC